Long non-coding RNA from Xiphophorus hellerii (green swordtail), 1508 nucleotides. RefSeq lists it as uncharacterized. NCBI's taxonomy places the organism in Eukaryota, Metazoa, Chordata, Actinopteri, Cyprinodontiformes, Poeciliidae. The transcript has 2 exons. The record is from RefSeq and is a predicted model, not a curated record.
UGGCUCUGCUCAAACAUGGAGAACACGUUGGAGGAUCCACCCUCACCCUGCUGCUGCCUCCUCUUGGCCUUCUUGGGUGCCUGAGAGAUGGAGAAAAACAGAUAUUGUCUUGAAGGUGAAAGGAGAGGCAGAGGGAGCAGUCAAACACCAUAAAAACAAGACAGCUGUACAGACUGAAAUAGCAGCGCUGCCCCCCCACCACCACCACCACCACCAUUCUCUUCUGCAGCCAUUUUGACCCUGUACUAACAUUUUGACACUCUUCACUGAUUAGCUUGCUUUUUUAAACCCCACUCGUAUUUAGCGCCGUUUGUAAUAUUUAUUGAAAUAUUUGGUGAAGAGUUGCCGGAUCUAAUCUAAAAUGGAAACAUAGCUAAUCUAUGACUUUUUGGAACAAUUUUUAGAGCGUCUAAAAGUAGAAUGGGAGUUAUUAAAUUCAGUUUCAUUGGGUUGGAAUAUCACGACACACGUCACUUUAACGUUUAUUACUAAAUCACUGGAAUAAAUCGUGGUUAUGUAGUCAUGUUUAGUUUAUAAUAAAAGCUGGUUGAAUUAGUUUUGUAUAAAAGAAAACCGUUGAACUUACCUAGCAUGCUGUUUGUAGCAACAGUGGAUACUAAACAUACCGCGCCAUCAUCCUCCUACCACUUCCUGUCCUCGUCUUCUUCGUGGUUUGCGCCACUGGUCACUUCCGGUUGCUGAUCAUGUGACUCGUGUGAUGCGGAAAAAAGGUGUUUCCUUGUAGUUUUGCUAAAUAAACCAGUUUUGAUCAUCCUAACGCCAAAACUUUAUCGAAAAACGAUCCCCCUCCCAAACUGGCGUGUUUCCAUUAAUCAUGUUUAUUUUUGAACUGUCAAAUUACGGGAUUAUAUGGAAACGCAGCUAAUAACAUGCACAAUUUGGCCACUCUUGUAAUGAGAUUAGGUAGAAUUAAUUUUAAGCUGAUUCCUGGCUUUUAACUGUAGUCCUCAACUUUAUUAAAACUGUUAAAAUAUCUGCCAUUUCAUAUGACAAUAUUGUUGUAUUGUUUAUGAUACAGUGCCAGUUUUGAUGUGGUUUUAGGAUCGUUGUGCUGUUGGAAAAAAAAAAAAAAGUUAAAAUUUCCAUCUGUGAUCCAAACUCACUAUUAAAAGAAAAAAAGUGAGUCAAGAUCUAUUAGACUGAAACUGAUACCUUGAAACUUGGCAGGAAUUUGGAUCUGCCAAAUGUUUUUUAUUUUGUGUAUUUCUACAGGAAGUGGGCGGUUUUCCGCAAGUCGUCAUGGAAAGUUUUAAUGGCUAUGAGCCUGUGUGAAUCGCAGUAAAUCCAAGUCAACUCAAAUUUGAUUUAAAAAUUAAUACUGCAUCCAUGUUCACAUUUAUUCUUUAACCAUAAUUGUAAUUUAUAGAUUACAGUGUCAAAAUGUAACAAAGGCAAAACUUCAUACUAAUGAUCAACAAAGUAAAAAGAUGAUAAUUUAUUGAACAAUGUAUGGGAGGAAAACAUAAAAACAGAACAAAGGAAAUACA